This is a long non-coding RNA of Cydia splendana, 2000 nucleotides long. RefSeq lists it as uncharacterized. The record is from RefSeq and is a predicted model, not a curated record. Lineage: Eukaryota; Metazoa; Arthropoda; Insecta; Lepidoptera; Tortricidae. The transcript has 2 exons.
UACUAAAAAACGACUGACAAUGAAAUAACAUAAAGCUUGACUUUUCGUUUUUACGAGUUUUUUACACGAAGAAGAUGAAUUACUUAAAUAUAAAUAUAAAUAUAACGCACAAUGGUGAUGCAAGAAGAAAUGACAAAGAACAACAGUUUUCAGACGCAUUGAGUGAUACGUGACUAUAGGACAGAAAAGACAGGUUCCUGAGGGGUGGAGGAAUGUUGUUCCAGCAGCGGCUUGCCAUGUACCUAAAGCUCCCACGAAAAGCUGCCGAAGCAUGUUGAGGUGUCACCAACUGUACACUGCAAUUACGCGCCCCAAGUGACCUACGGGUGGACAUCCAUGAUAACUUCUCGAAGAGAUACGAUGGGGAUUUGUGUUUUACUACGCCAAAUAAAAGAAAAGCCAGAUGAAGCUUGCGACGGUGUAGCAUUUUGAGAAUACUGUGCUUAUUUAGAAAAGGAGUCACGUGGGCUCUUGGUGGAAUGUUGAAGCAAAAACGAGCACAAGCAUUUUGUACCCGCUGAAUAAGUCGCUUUGUUUUUGCCAGAAGACGUGGACCAUAGACCAAAUCCAUAUAGUUUAAUUUUGACAGAACAAGUGUUUCAAUCAACUGAGUGCGCAAGGUUUCAUUAAUGAACGGUCGUAUGUUAUAUAAAAGUUUAAGCCUGAAGAAACAGUUUCUCACAGUUUCCGCAACAUGCUUUUCAAAUCUGAGUUCACUAUCCAUAAUUAAGCCUAAAUUUCUAGCCUCAUACACUCUUUCAAUGGGUUCACCCGAUAACAUUACAUCUCUAGCAGGUCCUAUGUUGCUCAACUGAUUUUUGGUGCCGAACAUCAGAUAUUUUGUCUUAGAUGGGUUGAGCAUAAGACUAUUGUCUAGUGCCCAAGAUGCUAUGUUUGCAAGAUCUAUAUUAAGUUUUUGUAUAGCACUGUCAAUUUCAGAUGGUUUACAGGAAAUGUAUAUCUGUAUGUCAUCUGCAUAAAUAUGAUAUUUGCAGUGUGUAAUAUGAGUUCCGAUGUCUGCUGUAUAUAAAAUGAACAGUAUUGGGCCGAGUAUCGAUCCCUGCGGUACACCUCUGGAAAGGGCCAUUUUACCUGAGACUUUAGCUGAUCCAUCACUUAAGCUCAGUUUAACAUACUGCUGCCGCUCACUGAGAUAACUAUGAAACCAAUGCAGCGCACUGUUAUCAAACCCAUAAUAACUUAGCUUAGACAGCAGCAGGUCUAUAUGAAUGCAGUCAAAUGCCCUAGAAAAAUCAAGCAGUACAAGUAGUGUGCACAUGCCCUUAUCUUGUGACCAAAGUAUGUUAUCUGUGACAUCUAGCAAGGCUGUCACAGUACUGCGCCCCUUCCUGAAACCCGAUUGUACAUCUGGUAAGAUACCGUUACUCUCAAUGUAGUCAUUUAGUUGUUCACACACAAUCUUUUCCAGUAUCUUAGACAUACAUGGUAGAAUGCUGAUAGGCCUAAGGUCCUUUAAUUCAGAGGGGUUAGAGGUUUUAGGAAGUGGGCGCACGAUGGCCACCUUCCAAGUGUCAGGAAAAGUGGAUGUUAAAAUAGAGGUGUUUAUCACAUCAGUCAGUAAGCCUAUAGUAUAAGGAAAUGUCAUAAGCAGCAUUUUUAAAUUAAUUAGGUCAUGCCCUUCUGCAUUUGAUUUGAGUUUGGAUAUAAUUUUUAGCAACUUAUUGGAGCUAACUGGUUCAAUAUGAAAUUUCGACUUUGUGUUGUAGCUGUUGAACUCAAAGUAAGUCAACUGAGAAAUUGUAAUAUGUGAUGCAAUUGGUAUGUUUAAAAAAUGUUUAUUUAUUAUAUCAGGGUCGCUGAAAGUGGAUGGCAAUUCUAAAUUAUUUUCAGGCAGAAUGGUAGAUUUCAGAUUUUUCCAAAGAGAUUUCGGCUCCUUAAUUUUAUUAUUUAUGUUGUGGUUGAAGAAAGCUAAUUUUUCAUUGUAUAUGGCCUUAUUUACUGUUGACUUUAGGUCCUUAUAAUAAAGUCUUUUACUCUCA